CAAAAGCAAUUUUUGUCACGACGGUCUCUGAUGCGGCAUUCCAAAGUCGCUUCAGUAACUUUUACGUGCAAUGACAGUCG
Molecule: small nucleolar RNA, 80 nt
Filed under: Drosophila melanogaster (fruit fly)
Lineage: Eukaryota; Metazoa; Arthropoda; Insecta; Diptera; Drosophilidae
Source: RNAcentral